Schistocerca gregaria is the source of this 1331-nucleotide long non-coding RNA. RefSeq lists it as uncharacterized. The record is from RefSeq and is a predicted model, not a curated record. NCBI's taxonomy places the organism in Eukaryota, Metazoa, Arthropoda, Insecta, Orthoptera, Acrididae. The transcript has 4 exons.
CCAAUGGGAGGACAGUUUUAGGUAGCCAGUGAGAGACGAGGAACGAAGGAAAUAUUCCGAGCGCUGGAAUUGAAAGUGUUCGACGUUCUAUACUGUGGUUAUUCGUAGUUUCCAAGAAUUUUCAGCUCAACAGAUUCGACAAUUUUUUUGAAUGGAACUUGCGGCGAAAUAUAGAUGUUAUGUCUGGUCAAAAAAUGGAAAGUGACGCGGACCUUGAUCAAGCGUGACUUCCUUUUAACUGUACGGAGGAUGGAUGCUCCAGUCUUCAUACAGUCAUCCUGAUCCUAGUUUUCCAUCAUCUCUCAAAAUUAAUUCAGGAAAUUCCGGAUGCUUCCUACUAUAUGGCCACAGCCAACUACCUGUUCCAUCCUUGUCAUACUAUAUCUCAGACUACUGCUGUUGAGUCAUCUGCAUACAGAAUCGUAUCUGAAGUUGUUGGUCAACAUGAGCAGAAAUUCUUCCAGAGGGACCACAAUAGCUGUCUACAAUGGGCCACCCAGGAUUGUUGGAUUUGGGGAUUAUGUGGAAGGUUGCUGUUGGCGUGAGGAGCAAGAUGAUUUUGGGUGUGCAAAUAUGUUCCAUAAAAGAAAGAAUGAUGCCUGGAUAAAGUUUGAUGCUACAUUCCACCUUUCAGACGAAAAACAUACAAAAUUUGUUUUGCUGCAAACAAAACAGUUGUAUUCUUGCUUAUUCCACCUCCACACAAUUGUGCUCCGUUAAAUAGAAAGUGGGCAAAGAGCAAUGUCCCUGCAACCUAAAAGUGCACUGUUUGUGUAUUCUUCUGGUCAUGACAACAUACAAUAGUAGAUUAACAGUGAUUUAUUUAGCUUAUCACUCAUUUCUGUAACUUUUUUGGAGACUGCUUUAAAUUUAUCUUUUUAUCUGAUUAGUAUUUAGUGAAUACACGUAAUCCCGAUCUCCAUUUUUCUUCUACUGUCAUCAAAGAAUUUUCAACGUAUCUGAAGUGCAUGUACUGUAUAAAGGGCCAGUUCAAGAACAUUUUUCUGCACAAGUAACUUAUCGUGCUCCUCCCCCCUUCCCUCACAUUUGCCAUUGUGCACUUUCAUCCGUCUCAUUUUCCACUACUAAUUUUGAUAUACACUACAUAAAAAGUUUUGCACUUGGGUUAUGCUGUCAGCUUGGUGCCCCAGGCAUCUGCUAUUAGUUGUGGUACGUGCUGUACAGAAUUCUUAUAGCUAUGAUGCUGCUGGCACCUCUCCCAGUUUGGCACUCCAGCUCUCUGUUUGUGUCACCUGUGUCUUGAACUGGUCCUAUCUGCAUAGUAUUUGUAACAUAAUUGUUAAUAAUUAAUGGAAAAUCUCAUAUAAAUA